GUUCGUAUAGCUCAGUUGGUUAGAGCACUACCUUGACAUGGUAGAGGUCGGAGGUUCGAGUCCUCUUGCGAACAC
This 75-nucleotide transfer RNA is filed under the name Microbacterium phage Cece. RNAcentral describes it as "tRNA-Val". It matches the Rfam family "tRNA". Rfam says of the family: Transfer RNA (tRNA) molecules are approximately 80 nucleotides in length. Their secondary structure includes four short double-helical elements and three loops (D, anti-codon, and T loops). Lineage: Duplodnaviria; Heunggongvirae; Uroviricota; Caudoviricetes. The record is from RNAcentral.